CAGUAGCCGCGGUAAUACGAAGGGUGCAAGCGUUACUCGGAAUUACUGGGCGUAAAGCGUGCGUAGGCGGUUUGUUAAGUCUGUUGUGAAAUCCCCGGGCUCAACCUGGGAAUGGCAAUGGAUACUGGCAGGCUAGAGUGUGAUAGAGGAUGGUGGAAUUCCCGGUGUAGCGGUGAAAUGCGUAGAGAUCGGGAGGAACAUCAGUGGCGAAGGCGGCCAUCUGGAUCAACACUGACGCUGAGGCACGAAAGCGUGGGGAGCAAACAGGAUUAGAUACCCGCGUAGUCCCUGUCUCUUAUAC
This 301-nucleotide ribosomal RNA is filed under the name uncultured bacterium. RNAcentral describes it as "partial 16S ribosomal RNA". It matches the Rfam family "Bacterial small subunit ribosomal RNA", at positions 509 to 807 of the family's 1533-position model. The record is from RNAcentral.